This 316-nucleotide long non-coding RNA is filed under the name Elaeis guineensis (African oil palm). RNAcentral's name for it is "long non-coding RNA (EGUI_LNC052483)". The record is from RNAcentral. Lineage: Eukaryota; Viridiplantae; Streptophyta; Magnoliopsida; Arecales; Arecaceae.
GUUGCUCCUAGAUUGAUUUUGAUGAUUACAAAGCAGAUUGAAGGGAUACAAACAAUUGAAAAAGUCCUUAUGCUCUUCAAGGGCAAAAUCAUAAUUUCACUAAAAUCCUGAUUUGAUAGUACCAUUUGGUAGAACAAAUGAUUUGAAAUCUAUUGGUGAAAAUUUCAUUGUGUUUGGACUAAUAUUUUUGAAGUUAUGAAGGUUUGAUGUGCAUGAGUCGACUCAUGAGUCAACUCAUGGCACUAUGAGCUGAAUGGCACGAAAAAAAUUCUCAUGGCACGCUGGAUUUUUGGCUUGGCACGACCUGUGAGUCGAC